GGUUAGGGGACCUGAGAGGUUGACCCCCCACAAUGGAACUGAAAMRCGGUCCAUACACCUACGGGUGGCAGCAGUAGGGAAUAUUGCACCAUGGGCGAAAGCCUGAUGCAGCAACGCCGCGUGAGUGAUGAAGGCCCUCGGGUCGUAAAACUCUUUUCAAGAGGAAGAGGAAGGACGGUACUCUUGGAAUAAGCCUCGGCUAAYUACGUGCCAGCAGCCGCGGUGACACGUAGGAGGCGAGCGUUAUUCGGAUUUACUGGGCGUAAAGCGCGUGUAGGCGGCUUAUUAAGUUGGAUGUGAAAGCUCCUGGCUUAACUGGGAGAGGACGUUCAAAACUAGUAAGCUUGAGUACGAGAGAGGAAAAUGGAAUUCCGGGUGUAGUGGUGAAAUGCGUAGAUAUCCGGAGGAACACCAGUGGCGAAGGCGAUUUUCUGGCUCGAGACUGACGCUCAGACGCGAAAGCUAGGGUAGCAAACGGGAUUAGAGACCCCGGUAGUCCUAGCUGUAAACGAUGUAGACUAGGCGUUGGUGGAGUAAAAUCCAUCAGUGCCGGAGCAAACGCGAUAAGUCUACCGCCUGGGGACUACGGCCGCAAGGUUAAAACUCAAAGGAAUUGACGG
RNAcentral lists this ribosomal RNA (620 nucleotides) under uncultured Chloroflexota bacterium. RNAcentral's name for it is "bacterial SSU rRNA". It matches the Rfam family "Bacterial small subunit ribosomal RNA", at positions 281 to 916 of the family's 1533-position model. Lineage: Bacteria; Bacillati; Chloroflexota. The record is from RNAcentral.